UACGUAGGGGGCAAGCGUUGUCCGGAUUUAUUGGGCGUAAAGAGCGUGUAGGCGGCCUGACAGGUCUGCUGUGAAAACUCGAGGCUCAACCUCGAGAUGUCGGCGGAAACCGUCUGGCUAGAGUCCGGAAGAGGAGAGUGGAAUUCCUGGUGUAGCGGUGAAAUGCGCAGAUAUCAGGAAGAACACCGGUGGCGAAGGCGGGUCUCUGGGCAACAACUGACGCUGAGGAGCGAAAGCGUGGGGAGCGAACAGG
This 253-nucleotide ribosomal RNA is filed under the name uncultured bacterium. Its description in RNAcentral is "partial 16S ribosomal RNA". It matches the Rfam family "Bacterial small subunit ribosomal RNA", at positions 524 to 776 of the family's 1533-position model. The record is from RNAcentral.